AUGAUUAUUGUUGAGGACAAUGGUGGGCCUUGGAGUCAAAAAGGUUGAAAACUAUGGGUCAGUGAUUCUGCAGUCAAA
Rhinichthys klamathensis goyatoka is the source of this 78-nucleotide small nucleolar RNA. RefSeq annotates it as small nucleolar RNA SNORD113/SNORD114 family. NCBI's taxonomy places the organism in Eukaryota, Metazoa, Chordata, Actinopteri, Cypriniformes, Leuciscidae. The transcript has a single exon. The record is from RefSeq and is a predicted model, not a curated record.